RNAcentral lists this unclassified non-coding RNA (991 nucleotides) under Hevea brasiliensis (rubber tree). Lineage: Eukaryota; Viridiplantae; Streptophyta; Magnoliopsida; Malpighiales; Euphorbiaceae. The record is from RNAcentral.
GCAAAUUGUUGCUCAAAAGACUGGUGCUGUCCUGAGGUUUGUAAAUUUGACAGAGGAUGAAGUUCCAGAUGUAGGGCAAUUAAGAGACUCUCUCUCAAGCAGCACAAAACUUUUGGUCAUGCAUCAUGUCUCGAAUAUGUUAGCUUCUGUUCUUCCUAUGGAUGAAGUCAUAAGUUGGGCACAUGAUGUUGGAGCAAAAGUGCUUGUAGAUGCUUGUCAAAGUGUCCCACACAUGGUGGUCGAUGUUAAGAAUCUAGACACUGAUUUUCUUGUUGGUUCCUCUCAUAAGAUGUGUGGGCCUACAGGCGUUGGAUUCUUGUAUGGCAAGAGCGAGAUCCUUUCUGGCAUGCCUCCUUUCCUUGGUGGUGGCGAAAUGAUAGCUGAUGUGUAUUUGGAUCAUUCCACUUAUGCUGAACCUCCUUCGAGAUUUGAGGCUGGGACUCCCGCAAUUGGAGAAGCAAUUGGGCUUGGAGCUGCAAUUGAUUAUAUUUCUGAAAUUGGCAUGCAACAGAUUCAUGAUUAUGAGAUGGAGUUAGGUAAUUAUUUGUAUGAUCGCCUCUCUUCUGUAUCUGAUGUUCGAAUUUAUGGGCCUGCACCUUCACGAACCGUUAAGCGAGCUGCUCUUUGUUCUUUCAAUGUUAAAGAUAUUCACCCUACUGAUAUCGCAACCUUCCUUGACCAACAGCAUGGUGUAGCGAUUAGAUCAGGUCACCACUGUGCUCAACCUCUGCAUCGACAUUUGGGAAUCAAUGCAAGUGCACGAGCUAGCCUUCAUUUCUACAAUACUAAAGACGACGUUGACAAAUUCAUCGAUGCACUCAAGGACACAAUCAACUUUUUCACUUCUUUCAAAUGAAGGUAUGUUUAUGUUCUCUAGUGUACCUUAAGGCACAUGUAACAUAAGUAAAAAACUUAUAAUUAUCUCAAUUUAAAGGUGUGAUUCGUGAAUAAAUUGACUUCAAGGAGUUUGAAUUAUUGUAAAUUAGGUACU